GACAGAGGGUGCAAACGUUGUUCGGAAUUACUGGGCGUAAAGCGUGCGCAGGCGGUUUUGUAAGACCGAUGUGAAAUCCCCGGGCUCAACCUGGGAACUGCAUUGGUGACUGCAAGGCUUGAGUGUGUCAGAGGGAGGUGGAAUUCCGGGUGUAGUGGUGAAAUGCGUAGAUAUCCGGAGGAACACCAGUGGCGAAGGCGACUUUCUGGCCUGUUCUUGACGCUGAGGCGCGAAAGCUAGGGGAGCAAACGGG
Molecule: ribosomal RNA, 253 nt
Filed under: uncultured bacterium
Lineage: Bacteria
Description: partial 16S ribosomal RNA
Rfam family: Bacterial small subunit ribosomal RNA
Source: RNAcentral